GGCCUCCUUGUGCUUACCACAGGCUGUGUUUUUGCACUGACUGUAUAGAAAGGGGAGGCAGAUAAAGUACCCCAUAUACACCUCAGCCCAGGCCUUGUGCCUGGUUUGUAUUGUGAAUGGGGCAACAUGG
Loxodonta africana (African savanna elephant) is the source of this 130-nucleotide small nucleolar RNA. Ensembl annotates it as small nucleolar RNA SNORA51. Its record names the gene SNORA51. Lineage: Eukaryota; Metazoa; Chordata; Mammalia; Proboscidea; Elephantidae. The record is from Ensembl.